Molecule: RNA transcript, 640 nt
Organism: Zingiber officinale
Lineage: Eukaryota; Viridiplantae; Streptophyta; Magnoliopsida; Zingiberales; Zingiberaceae
Exons: 3
Source: RefSeq, a predicted model, not a curated record
UCUGCUCCAUGUGUAUCGUCUUCUCCAGCGGCGCAUGAGAAUAGGAAGGAAGCAAAGCAAUGGCGAUCCUUCUCCGUCUCCUCCUCCUAACGAUGGAUCUAACGCUCGCCGGGAUCUCCCUCGCGUUUGCUUUCGUGAUCUUCGCCUUCGUCGCCGCUGUUCUCUGCUCCGCCGCCUUCAUCCACAACGCCAAGGCGCUCCCCCUUUAGCCCUGAUUCUGCGUGCCUCCUUUUCAUUCGGUUGAUAGAUCAAAGAGCAGAGUGGUUUGAUGGACUCAGAAUUCCGAUACCAGAACAAUGAUAAAAUCCAAGCUCCUGUGUCUGACAUUCGGUCCAACUAGUCUUGGAGGUGCACAACCCGAUCCCCCACCAAGCAAGUCUGGAAGUGUGAGCGGCUCCUCGUCCAAUAACCAACGUCCCAGAUUUUUUAUCCCAUUGAAAGAAAAUGCCUUUUAAUAUGCUGGAGUUGGGAUUCGAACCAAGAGUGCUUGGAAAUUGCUUGAGCGCUUUAACGUUGCACUAUGGCCUGGGGCUUGCCAAGACACUUUAUGAUCCUUGUUUUGGUGCAACAAUUUUGAGUUUAAGUAUCAUUCUCAAAUUUAAGAUAAUUCCACACUGUAUCCAAAUGUUAAGAAUAUCCA